GGAUAUAGCUCAGUUGGUAGAGUGUUUGCCAUGCUUGCACAAGGCCCUGGGUUCGAUACCCAGCACCA
This 68-nucleotide transfer RNA is filed under the name Marmota monax (woodchuck). Its description in RNAcentral is "tRNA.Ala". Lineage: Eukaryota; Metazoa; Chordata; Mammalia; Rodentia; Sciuridae. The record is from RNAcentral.